RNAcentral lists this long non-coding RNA (996 nucleotides) under Mytilus galloprovincialis (Mediterranean mussel). Lineage: Eukaryota; Metazoa; Mollusca; Bivalvia; Mytilida; Mytilidae. The record is from RNAcentral.
UUCAUACAAAAUCUUUUCAUUUGUGUAAUAUUUAUCUGUUUAGCAAUUUCUCCUUUGAUUUCAGUGAAUAUUUUUUUUUAAUGAAUUUUUUAUUCCCCCUCUGUAUUAAGAAACAUACAUGCAAACUAAAGGGACAUAACUCCAAACAUUAUUCAAAGGAAACUUUCUUGCUCAUCAUUAUAAACUACAUCAUUCAGAAAUGGGCUCUGCGUGUAAAAGAAUCCUCACAAUUUGUGAGAGGUUUGUAUGUGGCAUGUUUGCAAGGCAAAAUUGUGUCCCCGUCCAAUAUUCCAUUAUUUUACAGUGACAGUCAAGACUUCCUGUCCUUCAAUCCUGUCAUCCCAUCUUCCAGGGACUGUAAAACAUAUACAUUGUGCAAUUGUAUAAAUUUUUGAUAGGCCACUUCUAUAAAAAAAAAAAUGGAUUCUGAUAGAACAUAGUCGUACUCCGAACUUGAAGCUACGAUCUCUAUCUCUGAAACUUAUACACAAUGCUUAUUACCACAAAAUACAGAUUGAGUUUGAAUUUGGGUGGCGUUACUUUUACCAUUCUAAAGUUGUGCCCUUUUAUAUAGAGCAGGACACAUUCUCCAUUUUUUUUAUUUCCAAUUUAUGACAUCUGUUUAUUGCAUCAAAGUAUUAACAGUUUUGGAAAUUAACUGAAUUUUGUCACCAAAUGACCUUAGAUCUGAUCCAAAUAACCUUUUGGACGUCAAACAAAAACCACAUUUUAAUUGUGACAUCAAAUUAAAUAAAAUUGUGAUGUCAAAGUUCAUGGGAACUUGUGUAAGUUUACGUAAUGGAGGACAAUUUUGCAUACAAUUGUAAUUGCAUCUAUUGAAUUGACUAUUUCCUGUAUUCAAAGUAUACUGUUGUAUCUUGCCUUGAUUAUUUUCAGGUCAGAUUACCAAACCAUUAUGCAUGUACAUGUAAAUCUUUGUCAAAUUAUUUGCUCACAUUAAGAUAUAUAGAUACUUGAUAAUCCAAAGUGCUGAGA